AGAGUUUGAUCCUGGCUCAGGAUGAACGCUGACAGAAUGCUUAACACAUGCAAGUCAACUUGAAUUUGGGUUUUUAACUUAGAUUUGGGUGGCGGACGGGUGAGUAACGCGUAAAGAACUUGCCUCACAGCUAGGGACAACAUUUGGAAACGAAUGCUAAUACCUGAUAUUAUGAUUUUAAGGCAUCUUAGAAUUAUGAAAGCUAUACGCGCUGUGAGAGAGCUUUGCGUCCCAUUAGCUAGUUGGAGAGGUAACGGCUCACCAAGGCGAUGAUGGGUAGCCGGCCUGAGAGGGUGAACGGCCACAAGGGGACUGAGACACGGCCCUUACUCCUACGGGAGGCAGCAGAAGGG
Molecule: ribosomal RNA, 353 nt
Filed under: uncultured Fusobacterium sp.
Lineage: Bacteria; Fusobacteriati; Fusobacteriota; Fusobacteriia; Fusobacteriales; Fusobacteriaceae
Description: bacterial SSU rRNA
Rfam family: Bacterial small subunit ribosomal RNA
Source: RNAcentral